This 325-nucleotide ribosomal RNA is filed under the name uncultured bacterium. Its description in RNAcentral is "bacterial SSU rRNA". It matches the Rfam family "Bacterial small subunit ribosomal RNA", at positions 356 to 673 of the family's 1533-position model. The record is from RNAcentral.
AGGGAAUCUUCCACAAUGGACGAAAGUCUGAUGGAGCAAUGCCGCGUGAGCGAUGAAGGCCUUCGGGUCGUAAAGCUCUGUUGUUAGGGAAGAACAAGUACCGGAGUAACUGCCGGUACCUUGACGGUACCUAACCAGAAAGCCACGGCUAACUUCGUGCCAGCAGCCGCGGUAAUACCUAGGUGGCAAGCGUUGUCCGGAAUUAUUGGGCGUAAAGCGCGCGCAGGCGGUCCUUUAAGUUUGAUGUGAAAGCCCACGGUUCAACCGUGGAGGGUCAUUGGAAACUGGGGGACUUGGGUUCGGAUUAGGAAAGCGGAAUUCCUUC